RNAcentral lists this ribosomal RNA (1242 nucleotides) under metagenome. RNAcentral describes it as "bacterial LSU rRNA". It matches the Rfam family "Bacterial large subunit ribosomal RNA", at positions 1564 to 2815 of the family's 2925-position model. The record is from RNAcentral.
UGAAUACGAGACGCUAAGGCGUCGAAGUAGUGUAUGUCAUACUUCCAAGAAAAGCUUGCACUGUCAUAAGUAAAAAAUGCCUGUACCAUAACCGACACAGGUGGGUAGGUAGAGUAUACUAAGGGGCGCGAGAUAACUCUCUCUAAGGAACUCGGCAAAAUAACUCCGUAACUUCGGGAGAAGGAGUACCUUAUUCUAUAAGGUUGCAAUAACAAGAUCCAAGCAACUGUUUAUCAAAAACACAGGUCUCCGCUAAGUCGUAAGACGAUGUAUGGGGGCUGACGCCUGCCCAGUGCCAGAAGGUUAAAGAAGUCGGUUAGCAUUAGCGAAGCUGGUAACUGAAGCCCUGGUGAACGGCGGCCGUAACAAUAACGGUCCUAAGGUAGCGAAAUUCCUUGUCGGGUAAGUUCCGACCCGCACGAAAGGCGUAAUGAUUUGGAUACUGUCUCGGAGAGGGGCUCGGUGAAAUAGACUUGUCUGUGAAGAUGCGGACUACCUGCACCAGGACAGAAAGACCCUAUGAAGCUUUACUGUAACUUGAAAUUGAAAUUGGACUUUAUUCGCGCAGUAUAGGUGGGAGGUGUUGAUUAUAAUCUUGCGGGAUUAUUGGAGCCAUCAGUGAGAUACCACUCUUGUAAUGUUAGAUUUCUAACUUUGAAUCAUUAUCUGGUCAAAGGACAGUUUCAGGCGGGCAGUUUGACUGGGGCGGUCGCCUCCCAAACGGUAACGGAGGCGUACAAAGGUUUCCUCUGAACGGGUAGAAAUCGUAUCUAGAGUGUAAAGGCAUAAGGAAGCUUGACUGUGAGACCUACAAGUCGAACAGGGACGAAAGUCGGUCUUAGUGAUCUGACGGUACUGAGUGGAAAGGCCGUCACUCAACGGAUAAAAGUUACUCUAGGAUAACAGGCUGAUCUCCCCCAAGAGUUCACAUCGACGGGGAGGUUUGGCACCUCGAUGUCGGCUCAUCGCAUCCUGGGGCGGUAGUACGUCCCAAGGGUUGGGCUGUUCGCCCAUGAAAGCGGUACGCGAGCUGGGUUCAGAACGUCGUGAGACAGUUCGGUCCAUAUCCGGUGUAGGCGUUAGAAUAUUGAGAGGAGCCUUCUUUAGUACGAGAGGACCGAGAAGGACAUACCUCUGGUGUACCAGUUAUCGUGCCAACGGUAAACGCUGGGUAGCUAUGUAUGGAGUGGAUAACCGCUGAAAGCAUCUAAGUGGGAAGCCCACCUCAAGAUAAGUAUUCUC